RNAcentral lists this small nuclear RNA (23 nucleotides) under Arabidopsis thaliana (thale cress). Its description in RNAcentral is "snRNA_09972". The record is from RNAcentral. Lineage: Eukaryota; Viridiplantae; Streptophyta; Magnoliopsida; Brassicales; Brassicaceae.
ACCAGGAGAUUCUAGGCCGAAAC